AAAAUUUGACCCAAAGUUGAAUAAUGCGUUCCUAGUAUAUUCUAAUAGUCUUUACUUUUAAGAUUUUUAUUUUUAUUUAUUAUUUUAAUUAACCUGGAGAAUCUUACCUUUUGCAUCAUGUAUAAAUAAAUUUUAUUUGCAAAAAAAAGUUACGAACUAUUAAGAAUAAUCAUUAUUAACCUUAAAUUGUGGUAACACUUUAAAAAAAAUAACAAUUGGAAUGAUAUGUUAACAUUUAAUAGAUUCUUAUUAAAUUUUAUUAGAAUAAUUCUAACUUUGAGAAAUAUAAAAUAUGGGAAGAGAUAAGUCUUUCUAUAUCAGUUAAAAUAUAAUAUGUUUAAUCUUAAAUAUAAAUAUUAAUGUUAGUUUGAAUUUAUUAAAAUUCUCCAGUUUCAAGUAUUUAAUUUUUAUAGCAUUAAAAUUUUAGAAGGUUGAUCAAAAGAUACCUUAAAAUAUAUAUUUUUAUUAGUAGUUAGUCUGUUAAAUUUAAGUAAGUUAUUAGUUAUUAAUUUUAUAAAUAUAAAAAUAAAAGUAAAAUUACUCGACCAAGUACAUUUAGCCUGUUUAUCAAAAACAUCGUAAAUAAUAUUUAUAAUACCUGCUCAGUGAAUAUUUAAACAGCCGCGUUAGUGUUAAGGUAGCAUAGUAAUUAGUUUCUUAAUUGGGAAAUAGGAUGAAUGGUUUCACUAAAAUAUAGUUUUUAUCCUCAUUUGCGAAAUUUUAAUCUAAGUGAAAAUACUUAGCAGUUGUACUAGGACGAGAAGACCCUAUGAAGCUGGCAAACUAUUAAUACAUAUUCCUAUUAUUUAUUAGUUUAUUUUUUGGGGUAAAAUUUAAUAAUACUAUUAACACAAUUGUACUAAAUUACAUCCUUUAGGAAUUAUGAAGAAGCUCCUCUAGGGAUAACAGCAUUAUGCUUAAAAGAGUUCUUAUCAGAAUAAGCGUUUGUGACCUCGAUGUUGAAUUAAAUGCUCUUUUAUGUGCAGGAGCUUAGAAGAGACGGUCUGUUCGACCUAUUAUAUUUACAUGAUUUGAGUUAAAAUCGACGCAAGUCAGAUUGGUUUCUAUCCAGUGUAUAAAUUUUUAUUAUCUAGUACGAAAGGAAUGACAAUAAUUUUA
This 1119-nucleotide ribosomal RNA is filed under the name Calanus finmarchicus. RNAcentral describes it as "16S ribosomal RNA". The stretch from base 751 to 1073 matches the Rfam family "Archaeal large subunit ribosomal RNA", at positions 2151 to 2715 of the family's 2987-position model. The record is from RNAcentral. Lineage: Eukaryota; Metazoa; Arthropoda; Copepoda; Calanoida; Calanidae.